Molecule: ribosomal RNA, 253 nt
Filed under: uncultured bacterium
Lineage: Bacteria
Description: partial 16S ribosomal RNA
Rfam family: Bacterial small subunit ribosomal RNA
Source: RNAcentral
UACGUAGGGCGCGAGCGUUGUCCGGAAUUAUUGGGCGUAAAGAGCUCGUAGGCGGCCUGUUGCGUCCGCUGUGAAAUCCCGGGGCUCAACCCUGGGCGUGCAGUGGAUACGGGCAGGCUGGAGGCAGGCAGGGGAGAACGGAAUUCCCGGUGUAGCGGUGAAAUGCGUAGAGAUCGGGAGGAACACCAGUGGCGAAGGCGGCUACCUGGACCAGCACUGACACUGAAGCACGAAAGCGUGGGGAGCAAACAGG